UGGGGAAUAUUGCACAAUGGGCGAAAGCCUGAUGCAGCAACGCCGCGUGAGCGAUGAAGGCCUUCGGGUCGUAAAGCUCUGUCCUCAAGGAAGAUAAUGACGGUACUUGAGGAGGAAGCCCCGGCUAACUACGUGCCAGCAGCCGCGGUAAUACGUAGGGGGCAAGCGUUAUCCGGAAUUAUUGGGCGUAAAGAGUACGUAGGUGGUUUCCUAAGCGAGGGGUUUAAGGCAAUGGCUUAACCAUUGUUCGCCCCCCGAACUGGGUUACUUGAGGGCUGGAGGGGAAAGCGGAAUUCCUAGUGUAGCGGUGAAAUGCGUAGAUAUGAGGGGGAAAAACAGUGGCGAUGGCGGCUUUCUGGACAGUAACUGACUCUGAGGUACGAAAGUGUGGGGAGCAAACAGG
RNAcentral lists this ribosomal RNA (403 nucleotides) under uncultured prokaryote. RNAcentral's name for it is "bacterial SSU rRNA". It matches the Rfam family "Bacterial small subunit ribosomal RNA", at positions 355 to 776 of the family's 1533-position model. The record is from RNAcentral.